GAACGCACAUUGCGCCCAAUGGUAUUCCAUUGGGCAUACCUGUUUGAGUAUCAUGAACACCUCAACUCUCAUGGUUUGCCAUGAUGAGCUUGGACUUUGGGGGUCUUGCUGGCCUAUGGUCGGCUCCUCUCAAAUGAAUCAGCUUACCAGUGUUUGGUGGCGUCACAGGUGUGAUAACUAUCUACGCUUGUGGCUUUCCAUCAGGUAACCUUCAGCGAUGGAGGUUUGCUGGGGCUCAUAAAUGUCUCUCCUCAGCGAGGACAGCUUUUUUGAACGUUUGAUCUCAAAUCAGGUAGGACUACCCGCUGAACUUAAG
This 316-nucleotide unclassified non-coding RNA is filed under the name uncultured Tomentella. RNAcentral's name for it is "sequence contains 5.8S rRNA gene". The stretch from base 1 to 53 matches the Rfam family "5.8S ribosomal RNA", at positions 102 to 154 of the family's 154-position model. Lineage: Eukaryota; Fungi; Basidiomycota; Agaricomycetes; Thelephorales; Thelephoraceae. The record is from RNAcentral.